This 225-nucleotide ribosomal RNA is filed under the name uncultured bacterium. RNAcentral describes it as "partial 16S ribosomal RNA". It matches the Rfam family "Bacterial small subunit ribosomal RNA", at positions 109 to 334 of the family's 1533-position model. The record is from RNAcentral.
AGUAACGCGUGGGUAACCUGCCUCAUACAGGGGGAUAACAGUUGGAAACGGCUGCUAAUACCGCAUAAGCGCACAGCAUCGCAUGAUGCAGUGUGAAAAACUCCGGUGGUAUAAGAUGGACCCGCGUUGGAUUAGCUAGUUGGUGAGGUAACGGCCCACCAAGGCGACGAUCCAUAGCCGACCUGAGAGGGUGACCGGCCACAUUGGGACUGAGACACGGCCCAA